AGACUGGCUGCCCCCGAGGGUUCGCGUGAGCGGAGCACGGGGCUCGGGGUGCGGGGGGCUGGUGUGAUGGACGCAUUUGUUCUUCGGUCCCUGACGAUUGUUUCUCAUUUGCCCUCCAAGCCCCAAAUCCUGUCAGUCCACGGCCUUGAUGGAGCGGCCCCCGUGGGACGACCCUGUUGAUUGUGCUAGCGGAUGUUGUCUCCAUUCUGGAUCUGGGAAAAACUGUGGAGUGAAAGCCGGACCUGUUAGGGUUGGGACCUGAAAGCGGACUUUUUCGCUCUCAGACGGGCCCCAGGUACAGUGAGAGGGGAGUUUGUGUGGUGGUUGUGAGCUUGAGCUUUGGAGAGAGAGAUCUGUGACCUUGGGCAGGUGACCUCUCCGAGCCUCGGUUUCCUCGCCGUAAAAUGAAGAUCCUAAUAGUCCCUACCAGAAGGUUGUGAAUGAGACAAUAGAUGGAAGCCCUUUGCGCGGCCCCUGCACCCGUAAACGCUCAAUCUUAGUUCUUACUCUUGUUGUUUUAAGUGUGCAGGCAAGAUAGACACAGAUACAUAAAAACUGUUUAAGACCACUUCUCUUUUUUUUCUUUCUUUCUUUUUUUUUUUUUUUUUUUUUUUUUGAGACGGAGUCUCGAUCUGUCGCCCAGGCUGGAGUGCAGUGGCGCGAACUAGGCUCACCGCAAGCUCCGCCUCCCGGCUUCACGCUAUUCUCCUGCCUCAGCCUCCCGAGUAGCUGGGACUACAGGCGCCCGCCACCACGCCCCGCUAAUUUUUUUGUAUUUUUAGUAGAGACGGGGUUUCACCGUGUUAGCCAGGAUGGUCUCGAUCUCCUGACCUCGUGAUCCGCCCGCCUCGGCCUCCCAAAGUACUGGCGUGAGCCACCGCGCCGGGCCCCCACUUCUCAACUGAUGACUGCGACACUCCCUUGAGGGUAAAACUAACUUCUGGCCACCUCCACAACUGUAAACCUGGUGUCACUCUUGGUGACUCCACCUCAGCUAAGGCCCCCACUUCCUGAUCUGCCUCCAGCCCCCUUGGGCAGCACUCCCUGGUGGGGCAGUGUGGACGUUGGCUGGAAUCCGUCAGGUGGUGACCUACCUUCCCCUCCUCCACCAGACGGGAGCUCUUUCAGGCCAGUGGUUUGUUGUUCAUCAAGAUAUCCAAGUACCCGGCAACAUUCCUGGCAUAUAAUAGGAAGGCAGAUCUGGUGAAUGAAUGAAUGAAUGGCGGUAUCUGGAGCAGAGACAAUGUAUGUAUAUAUUGCUAUUUAUAUAAUGUCUGCCCCCCCAGUCAUUUUGCCCUUCAGCCCCAAAAUGGCAUAGCAAAACCCCCCUUCCAGUAAGACGCUUAAGAUGAUUCAAUUCCUUGAGAUCCUUCUAUUUUUUUAAGUGUUAUUGCAAUAUAUUGAUAUACAAUAAACUGUACAUAUUUAAAGUGUGCAUUUGGUUUUUUUGCUAGUACUUGUUUGCUUUUUUUUAAAAUUAUACUUUAAGUUCUGGGAUACACAUGCAGAACGUGCAGGUUUGUUACAUAGGUAUACACGUGCCAUGGUGGUUUGCUGCAAGUGUGCACUUUUAUAUGUUUUGACAAAUGUAUAGACCUGUGAAAACAAUACUAUAAUUAUUUGUAAUUAUUAUCAUUUAUGGAGAAAAUGAAAUGCUUAAAAAAUAAAAUUAAAUUAAAAGUACUAUAAUUCUACUAUCCAGACACAACCAUUGAUAAGAACUUAUAUUUCAAAACAGGAUUUUUUUGGUUGUGCAUUAACUUUUUUCAACAUGGUUGAGGUUGUAUUACAUAAAAAGGUUUGCAUCCUGCACUUCGCAUAUUUCAAUACAAUUAAUAAUUGUUCUCUUCCAUUAUGAGAUAUUUAGAUUAUAAUUCCUCUGUUUUUAAUAAAAUACGGAUAAAUAUCUUUGUACACAAAUCUUUUUCCACAUAUUUGAUUAUUUCCUUAGGAUAAAUUGCCAAAAGUAGAUUUCGGUCAAUGGGUAUAUGUCUGUUUCCUUAUUUUGUUCUUUUCAAAAUAGAAAAGACUUUACUAUUUUGUCAAUUAAAAGAUAGUGUAUUACUGGCUGGGUGGGGUGGCUCACACCUAUAAUCCCAGGCUGAGGUGGGAGGAUUUCUUGAGCCCAGGAAUUUGAGACCAGACUGGGCAACAUGGCGAGAUCACAUCUACCAAAAAUUAAAAACAGAAAAAUUAGCUGGGCAUGGUGGCACUCACCUGUGGUCUCAGCUACUGGGGAGGCUGAGGCAGGAGGAUCACUUGGGCCCAAGAGGAUGAGGCUGCAGUGAGCCAUGUUUGUGCCACUGCACGUCAGCCUGGGCAACAGAGCUAGAACUUGUCUCGAAGAAAAAAUAAAAAUGAAAGAUAGUAUAUUUUUGUUGUAAAUAAUUCAAAUAAUACAGAAAUUAUAAACUAGGAAGCUGUCUAUAGUUCUGUCCUCCUUCCUUCCCCCCUACUCAUAGUUACCCUCGACCUAACCACUGUUAAAAGUUAAGCCUGUGAUGAUGGAUAUGUUUAUGUAAUAGGCAGUGGUGAUGUACAGUUAUCACCCAGCUCAUCUAGUUAUAUACAUUAAGUAUGAGCAGCUUAUUGUAUGUCAAUCAUAAUUCAAUAAGUGGUUUUUAAAAAGUCACUAGCAAAGCAAAGAUAAAGUUCUGACACCAUUAAGAAAUAGAAAUAGGCUGGGCACGGGGGCUCACACCUGUAAUCCCAGCAAUUUGAGAGGCUGAGGUGGGUGGAUCACCUCAGGUCAGGAGUUUGAGAUGAGCAUGGCCAACAUGGCAAUACCCCGUCUCUAACAAAAAUACAAAAAUUAGCCGGGUGUGGUGUCAUGCAUCUGUAAUCCC
This 2846-nucleotide long non-coding RNA is filed under the name Homo sapiens (human). RNAcentral's name for it is "non-protein coding lnc-STN1-2:5". The record is from RNAcentral. Lineage: Eukaryota; Metazoa; Chordata; Mammalia; Primates; Hominidae.